RNAcentral lists this ribosomal RNA (23 nucleotides) under Scilla scilloides (Japanese jacinth). Lineage: Eukaryota; Viridiplantae; Streptophyta; Magnoliopsida; Asparagales; Asparagaceae. The record is from RNAcentral.
AUCAUACCAGCAUUAAUGCACCG